GCGGAGGGAAGCUCAUCAGUGGGGCUACGAGCUGAGUGCGCUUAGUCACUCUAUCCGAUGUCCCUUGGGAAGGUCUGAGACUAGGGCCACGGGCGGCCCUAACAGGGCCCUCCCUGAGAUUCGGGGAGGUGAGUUCCCAGAGAGCGGGGCUCCGCGCGAGGGCAGACUGGGCAGGAGAUGCUAUGGACCCCGCCCUUGCGGAGGGGCCUGGCGGAUGCCUCCUUAGCCGGAGCUUGGAACAGACUCACGGCCAGCGAAGUGAGUUCAAUGGCUGAGGUGAGGUACCCCACCCCGCGUGGGGGUCUCAUAACCCAAUUCAGACUACUCUCCCGCCCGU
Molecule: RNase P RNA, 337 nt
Filed under: Ovis aries (sheep)
Lineage: Eukaryota; Metazoa; Chordata; Mammalia; Artiodactyla; Bovidae
Description: Nuclear RNase P (ENSOARG00000023915.2, ENSOARG00040051104.1)
Rfam family: Nuclear RNase P
About the family: Ribonuclease P (RNase P) is a ubiquitous endoribonuclease, found in archaea, bacteria and eukarya as well as chloroplasts and mitochondria.
Source: RNAcentral